This 309-nucleotide unclassified non-coding RNA is filed under the name Mucidula mucida. RNAcentral describes it as "ITS2". The record is from RNAcentral. Lineage: Eukaryota; Fungi; Basidiomycota; Agaricomycetes; Agaricales; Physalacriaceae.
AACUCUCAACCCUUCUUACUUGUUUUCGAGUUCGAAUGGUGUUGGAUGGUGGAGGCUUGCCGGACCUUUCAAUGGGUUCAGCUCCUCUGAAAUGCAUUAGCAGUACGAACCAUUACUUGGGCUACGCUAAGCUGUGAUAAUAUCUAAGCUAGCUUGGUUCAGAGUGUUGGCAGAGCUCGGGUGUUUGAAGGGUUUGCCUCACGGCUCCCUUUGUGUUCUCUCCUCUGGAGGGAUACCUAUGCGACUCUGUGAAAGGUUUUUGCGACCGCUUCGAACCUCUUCUUCACUGAGACAACUUUAACUGAUUAU